Molecule: unclassified non-coding RNA, 253 nt
Filed under: uncultured fungus
Lineage: Eukaryota; Fungi
Description: partial contains small subunit ribosomal RNA, internal transcribed spacer 1, and 5.8S ribosomal RNA
Rfam family: Eukaryotic small subunit ribosomal RNA (bases 1-73)
Source: RNAcentral
GCAAACUUGGUCAUUUAGAGGAAGUAAAAGUUGUAACAAGGUUUCCGUAGGUGAACCUGCGGAAGGAUCAUUAACAAAUCCAAUAAUUGCUGAAGAACACUUGUUCUUUUUGCAAAUAUUAAUCCGUUGGCCGCUCUUAGAGAGCAGCUGACUGUGAUAUAAAUGCGUGUUAUGUUGACAGUGUGUGUAUAAAUUAAUAUUGACAACUUUUAACAAUGGAUCUCUAGGCUCUUGCAUCGAUGAAGAACGCAGC